CACCACCACCCCCCUCGCUCCGCCGCUGUUGCCGUCAUUGGGUGGGGAGCUGCAGGGACCGCGGAGAAAACAAGCAUGGGGAGCCCUGGUAAUUUCUCUUUGACUGCGUCCUCGGUGCGGCUCAUGGUGCCCAGGGGAGCGGAGCCCUGAGUCGGCUAGCCCGAACUGCAGCCUCGUCCGGUCCUCCGCGGCUCAGCUGCCCGCGGGCAAGGCGGAGCCCCGGCCCGCCGCUAUCGCCGUGCUCCCGGCACCCCGCAGCCGCCGCCGCAGCCACUGCCGGCCGUUCGGCUCCGCAGCCAUCUUCCGAGCCCGGCACAGACAGACGUCAGGAGGCUGGCCCGGCCCCUUCCCACGGCCGGGGGGGCUUGGGGAGGCGGGAGGGGGAGGCAGCGCCUACCUGGGGCGGGGGAAGCGGAGAGGGCUGACCAGGGAGCUCCUUGCCAUCUAGCAGUCGCCGCCAUGGCAACGGGUUCCCCCCGCCCACCCCCGCAUCCCCAACCGGGAGGGCGUGCGCCUGGCUCCUUGGAAGGGCCCCCUAGCCAUCCACCCCCACUAACACGGGAGGGGUGGAGAAUGCAGCCGUACCCCUCUUUCCCCCGCCCCCAGUCGGGAAGUAGGAGGCUUGGGGAGAGGAAGGAGACCCUUCAGCCGACGGAAAAGUAGCCGGCCCCUAAGGACUACUGCAGCGCGAGUAGAACGACUUCUCCCGCCGGGGACCGAGAUCAGUUCCAGGGCAUAAGCAACAGGAGAGGAGCACCCAUUAUUAAAUCGAACCUCGCAACUGCGGCAGGGUCCGGGACAGCAGUAUUAGUCCUAGCUAGCAGAGUGCUAGUCUCCGUCCCCUGCCCGGUACCUGGGCGGGGCCUUAGGCAAGCAGAACAACCUAAAGGCCGGACAAGUACCUCCGCCCGGAGACUGGGGAUCCGGGUGAUUAAAUAGAUAUUGCUCUUUCCGCCCCUCGCCGUCAAUAAAAUACUCCUCUGCCUGCUCUCUGAAA
Long non-coding RNA from Monodelphis domestica (gray short-tailed opossum), 997 nucleotides. RefSeq lists it as uncharacterized. NCBI's taxonomy places the organism in Eukaryota, Metazoa, Chordata, Mammalia, Didelphimorphia, Didelphidae. The record is from RefSeq and is a predicted model, not a curated record.